RNAcentral lists this ribosomal RNA (305 nucleotides) under uncultured bacterium. RNAcentral's name for it is "bacterial SSU rRNA". It matches the Rfam family "Bacterial small subunit ribosomal RNA", at positions 338 to 657 of the family's 1533-position model. The record is from RNAcentral.
CCUACGGGGGGCAGCAGUGGGGAAUAUUGGGCAAUGGGCGCAAGCCUGACUCAGCAACGCCGCGUGAAGGAAGAAGGCUUUCGGGUUGUAAACUUCUUUUCUCAGGGACGAAGCAAGUGACGGUACCUGAGGAAUAAGCCACGGCUAACUACGUGCCAGCAGCCGCGGUAAUACGUAGGUGGCAAGCGUUAUCCGGAUUUACUGGGUGUAAAGGGAGCGCAGGCGGGAAGCCAAGUCAGCUGUGAAAACUACGGGCUUAACUUGUAGACUGUAGUUGAAACUGGUUUCCUUGAGUGAAGUAGAGG